CUCCUACGGGAGGCUGCAGUGGGGAAUAUUGCACAAUGGGCGCAAGCCUGAUGCAGCAACGCCGCGUGAGGGAUGACGGCCUUCGGGUUGUAAACCUCUUUUAGCAGGGAAGAAGCGAAAGUGACGGUACCUGCAGAAAAAGCACCGGCUAACUACGUGCCAGCAGCCGCGGUAAUACGUAGGGUGCAAGCGUUGUCCGGAAUUAUUGGGCGUAAAGAGCUCGUAGGCGGCUUGUCGCGUCUGCUGUGAAAUCCCGGGGCUCAACUCCGGGCCUGCAGGGGGUACGGGCAGGCUUGAGUGCGGUAGGGGAGAUUGGAAUUCCUGGUGUAGCGGUGGAAUGCGCAGAUAUCAGGAGGAACACCGAUGGCGAAGGCAGAUCUCUGGGCAGUAACUGACGCUGAGGAGCGAAAGCAUGGGGAGCGAACAGGAUUAGAUACCCCAGUAGUCCA
Molecule: ribosomal RNA, 449 nt
Filed under: uncultured bacterium
Lineage: Bacteria
Description: bacterial SSU rRNA
Rfam family: Bacterial small subunit ribosomal RNA
Source: RNAcentral